RNAcentral lists this ribosomal RNA (465 nucleotides) under uncultured bacterium. RNAcentral describes it as "partial 16S ribosomal RNA". It matches the Rfam family "Bacterial small subunit ribosomal RNA", at positions 28 to 507 of the family's 1533-position model. The record is from RNAcentral.
GACGAACGCUGGCGGCGUGCUUAACACAUGCAAGUCGAACGGAAAGGCCCCUUUGGGGGUACUCGAGUGGCGAACGGGUGAGUAACACGUGAGUAACCUGCCCUUGACUUCGGGAUAACUUCAGGAAACUGGGGCUAAUACCGGAUAGGAAUCCUUGCUGCAUGGUGGGGGUUGGAAAGCUUCGGCGGUUUUGGAUGGACUCGCGCCUUAUCAGCUUGUUGGUGGGGUAGUGGCUUACCAAGGCUUUGACGGGUAGCCGGCCUGAGAGGGCGACCGGCCACAGUGGGACUGAGAGACGGCCCAGACUCCUACGGGAGGCAGCAGGGGGGAAUAUUGCACAAGGGGCGGAAGCCUGAUGCAGCAACGCCGCGGGCGGGAGGACGGCCUUCGGGUUGUAAACCGCUUUCAGCAGGGGCGAAGCUUGUGGUGACGGUACCUGCAGAAGAAGCACCGGCUAACUACGUG